This 746-nucleotide ribosomal RNA is filed under the name Marasmius rotalis. RNAcentral describes it as "LSU rRNA". It matches the Rfam family "Eukaryotic large subunit ribosomal RNA", at positions 120 to 872 of the family's 3401-position model. Lineage: Eukaryota; Fungi; Basidiomycota; Agaricomycetes; Agaricales; Marasmiaceae. The record is from RNAcentral.
AUCUGGCAGCCUCAGGUUGUCCGAGUUGUAAUUUAGAGAAGUGUUACCCGCGCUGGACCGUGUACAAGUCUCCUGGAAUGGAGCGUCAUAGAGGGUGAGAAUCCCGUCUUUGACACGGACUACCAGGGCAUUGUGGUGCGCUCUCGAAGAGUCGCGUUGUUUGGGAAUGCAGCGCAAAAUGGGUGGUAAAUUCCAUCUAAAGCUAAAUAUUGGCGAGAGACCGAUAGCGAACAAGUACCGUGAGGGAAAGAUGAAAAGAACUUUGGAAAGAGAGUUAAACAGUACGUGAAAUUGCUGAAAGGGAAACGCUUGUAGUCAGUCGCGUUGGCCGGGGAUCAGCUCUGCUUCUGUGGGGUGUACUUCCUGGUUUAACGGGUCAGCAUCAGUUUCGAUCGCCGGAAAAGGGUUUGAGGAAUGUGGCAACCUCGGUUGUGUUAUAGCCUCUUAUCGUAUACGGCGGCUGGGACUGAGGAACUCAGCACCCUCUGGUGUGCUUAGGAUGCUGGCAUAAUGGCUUUAAGCGACCCGUCUUGAAACACGGACCAAGGAGUCUAACAUGCUUGCGAGUGUUUGGGUGGUAAACCCGAGCGCGUAAUGAAAGUGAAAGUUGGGAUCUCUGUCGUGGAGAGCACCGACGCCCGGACCUGAUGUUUACUGACGGAUCUGCGGUAGAGCACGUAUGUUGGGACCCGAAAGAUGGUGAACUAUGCCUGAAUAGGGUGAAGCCAGAGGAAACUCUGGUGGAG